Molecule: ribosomal RNA, 332 nt
Filed under: uncultured bacterium
Lineage: Bacteria
Description: partial 16S ribosomal RNA
Rfam family: Bacterial small subunit ribosomal RNA
Source: RNAcentral
CCUACGGGGGGCAGCAGUGAGGAAUAUUGGUCAAUGGGCGGAAGCCUGAACCAGCCAAGUAGCGUGCAGGAUGACGGCCCUACGGGUUGUAAACUGCUUUUAUACGGGAAUAACGCGCCUUACGUGUAUGGCUUUGCAUGUAUCGUAUGAAUAAGGACCGGCUAAUUCCGUGCCAGCAGCCGCGGUAAUACGGAGGGUCCGGGCGUUAUCCGGAUUUAUUGGGUUUAAAGGGAGCGUAGGCGGCAUGUCAAGCUUGCGGUGAAAUGUCCGGGCUCAACCCGGGCCUUGCAGCGCGAACUGGAGGACUAGAGAACGCGGACAGCAGGCGGAAU